Molecule: ribosomal RNA, 468 nt
Filed under: uncultured bacterium
Lineage: Bacteria
Description: partial 16S ribosomal RNA
Rfam family: Bacterial small subunit ribosomal RNA
Source: RNAcentral
GACGAACGCUGGCGGCGUGCUUAACACAUGCAAGUCGAACGGAAAGGCCCUGCUUUUGUGGGGUGCUCGAGUGGCGAACGGGUGAGUAACACGUGAGUAACCUGCCCUUGACUUUGGGAUAACUUCAGGAAACUGGGGCUAAUACCGGAUAGGAGCUCCUGCUGCAUGGUGGGGGUUGGAAAGUUUCGGCGGUUGGGGAUGGACUCGCGGCUUAUCAGCUUGUUGGUGGGGUAGUGGCUUACCAAGGCUUUGACGGGUAGCCGGCCCGAGAGGGUGACCGGCCACAUUGGGACUGAGGUACGGCCCAGACUCCUACGGGAGGCAGCAGUGGGGAAUAUUGCACAAUGGGCGGAAGCCUGAUGCAGCAACGCCGCGUGCGGGAUGACGGCCUUCGGGUUGUAAACCGCUUUCGCCUGUGACGAAGCGUGAGUGACGGUAAUGUGUAAAGAAGCACCGGCUAACUACGUG